UUAGGUAGUUGGUGGGGUAAAGGCCUACCAAGCCGACGAUCUGUAGCGGGUCUGAGAGGAUGAUCCGCCACACUGGGACUGAGACACGGCCCAGACUCCUACGGGAGGCAGCAGUGGGGAAUUUUGCGCAAUGGGGGAAACCCUGACGCAGCAACGCCGCGUGAGUGAUGAAGGCUUUCGGGUCGUAAAGCUCUGUCUAGAGGGAAGAAGUGAUAUUUGGUUAAUACCCAGAUUUCUUGACGGUACCUCUGAAGGAAGCACCGGCUAACUCCGUGCCAGCAGCCGCGGUAAUACGGAGGGUGCAAGCGUUGUUCGGAAUUAUUGGGCGUAAAGCGCGUGUAGGCGGUUUGUUAAGUCUGAUGUGAAAGCCCUGGGCUCAACCUGGGAAGUGCAUUGGAAACUGGCAGACUUGAAUACGGGAGAGGGUAGUGGAAUUCCGAGUGUAGGAGUGAAAUCCGUAGAUAUUCGGAGGAACACCGGUGGCGAAGGCGGCUACCUGGACCGAUAUUGACGCUGAGACGCGAAAGCGUGGGUAGCAAACAGGAUUAGAUACCCUGGUAGUCCA
This 565-nucleotide ribosomal RNA is filed under the name uncultured bacterium. RNAcentral's name for it is "bacterial SSU rRNA". It matches the Rfam family "Bacterial small subunit ribosomal RNA", at positions 241 to 797 of the family's 1533-position model. The record is from RNAcentral.